RNAcentral lists this long non-coding RNA (851 nucleotides) under Cyanistes caeruleus (blue tit). Its description in RNAcentral is "lncRNA (ENSCCEG00000007266.1)". The record is from RNAcentral. Lineage: Eukaryota; Metazoa; Chordata; Aves; Passeriformes; Paridae.
CCGGCCCCCAGGGCUGUGGGUGCAGUUUGGGGGGGGCUGUACAUCAUCACGGUCCUGCCUACGACAUAAACUUUAUGCUGCGUAUCAAGUCACGUGAGCACCAAAACUUGAUCUUUCUGAGAGCUUCUUGUAUGCAGCCAGCUAAAUAACAAAGGCUUGUGUCAUAAAAGGAUGAAUAAGAUUAUUCUGGUAGCAUACAUACCGAAGGAUGUGUCCCAUGAUUGCAACUCUGGGCUGCAGUCAGUUGUUGGUAAACUAUCCUGUGAAGAAUUUACAGGAUUGAGAGACACAAGGGUCCUGGCUCUCAGAAGAACUCCUACCUGUGGAAGUAUACUAUUUGUUAUUGGGUAAGUAUUUCCCAGAGCCCCAUGUCAAAGGAGUCACCACUCUGGGUCUGCCUGUGCUUUCUGAGUCAGAAAUUGCAUAGAGAUAUUCUGUGUAAAGAACCAUGAGGGAAUUGAGGUUUAUUUGAUUUUUUAUUAUUCUUAUUACUAUUACCACUCAUACUUUACACUAUGGUCCUCUGUAAUAUCAUGCUUGAAUCAGUUACACAAGGUAGUUAUUAAUUCUGAAUAAUAAUUUGUAUUAAACUUGCUGGAAUAUAUUGCUAUGUCUUUGUUUGUUGUAGUCUGCAAAUAGGAAAUAAUUAUUCCUUAGUUGUCUUUAAUCAAUACCUUGCUCCAGGUACUACUUAGAAAAUCUUUAGGCUGAGGUGGAGCUUGGGCACUGUCAUAUGGCAACUCUGGAGGCAGUGUUGGACAACAUGAGGGCCAUCUGCAGAAUCUGCACUCAACAAUCACAACUCUGUGAAACUCUUAAAUAAAACUAUUUCACAACAAGAUUGUGGAACA